This 432-nucleotide ribosomal RNA is filed under the name uncultured bacterium. RNAcentral describes it as "bacterial SSU rRNA". It matches the Rfam family "Bacterial small subunit ribosomal RNA", at positions 29 to 507 of the family's 1533-position model. The record is from RNAcentral.
AACGAACGCUGGCGGCAGGCCUAACACAUGCAAGUUGAGCGAGACCUUCGGGUCUAGCGGCGGACGGGUUAGUAACGCGUGGGAACGUGCCCUUCUCUGCGGAAUAGCCACUGGAAACGGUGAGUAAUACCGCAUACGCCCUUCGGGGGAAAGAUUUAUCGGAGAAGGAUCGGCCCGCGUUAGAUUAGAUAGUUGGUGGGUAACGGCCUACCAAGUCUACGAUCUAUAGCUGGUUUUAGAGGAUGAUCAGCAACACUGGGACUGAGACACGGCCCAGACUCCUACGGGAGGCAGCAGUGGGGAAUCUUAGACAAUGGGCGCAAGCCUGAUCUAGCCAUGCCGCGUGUGUGAUGAAGGUCUUAGGAUCGUAAAGCACUUUCGCCAGGGAUGAUAAUGACAGUACCUGGUAAAGAAACCCCGGCUAACUCCGUG